AAUAGUACGGGACUAUCUGGCCCUGCAAAAUAGCAGGGUUAGCCGGGCAAUUGCGGGGUUAGCCGGGCAAUUGUGGUGCUAAGCUGCGUAGCGUGAAUCCAAACCGGGCUAAGGAGAAGCGGGGCUAAGCAACAGCCAAUCACAGACAGCGUGGUCGUGUGGUCGUGAAUUUGCAUUUAUCGCGCGCUAUGCAUGCAGUUCACGUUACGCAUGCAUGCAGUUCACGUUACGCAUGCAUGCUCUCUGUAUUGACGUUUAGUCUUUUACGAGGCAGAGGUCAUUAUGAAAAAAUCUUUAUUAUAAAAUUGAUUUAAAAAAAUAGUGAAAGAACAUGUAGCUCAUAAUUUUUUAUUGCAUUUAUCAUUAUCAGUCAUAUUUACGUAGGUAAAUUUAUCAAGUGAAUUGGAUGAAAAAUGGGUAAUUGAUUUGUAUCGGUAAAAUAAUAAAGGGAAAACGCUUUGCGCAAGGCUGGAUAACACAACACGAGCGAGCUAAAAUUAUUACGUACCGUACUGUAUAUUGUUGGUCUUUUUACCACAAGCAAAGAGUUCGUUGACCGAUAUUGAUUAUAGUUCAAUUGUUGCAUUGAUUGUCUCCUGAUUUUAAUUGUAUUUACACCGGAAUGACGGCUUUACCCAUCAGAAGGACCAAUUGGGAAGAUGUUGAAAUCAGGUUUUUCCUGAGUCUGUGGGCAGAGGGGGAGGUCCAGCAGCAGCUGGAUGGCACGGUCAGGAACAAGAAAGUUUUCGACGAUAUGGCAAGGAAGAUGGCAGACGCGGGGUAUAACCGGUCACCAAAUCAGCUCCGAGACAAGUUAAAAAAACUGAAGAAGGACUAUAAAGAUGCCAGAUCAAAUAAUGCUACAAGUGGGGCUGCAAGACAACAGUGCCCAUUUUAUGACUUACUGCAUCCAAUCAUGGGUAAUCGACCUGCCAUAGAGCCCCAGGUGCUGGUUGACACAGCAGAUGAUAGAGCUGAAGGUGCGGACGUUCCUGCUCAUGCCGAUGGUGCAGACUUAAGUGGCAGACGAGUGGCAGUGUCAUCGAGGAUGUUUUGGAACUGGAAGGUGGUGCGCGUGCUGAAGACAAUACUGUGAUUGCUCCAAAAGCAGAAGACCAACCAUCAACGUCUACUCCCAAGACCAAUGUAAAAGUAAGGGGAAGGAAGCGACAGGCUGAGGAGCCAGCAGAGAUGGAGAAGACCCUGAAAAUACUGACAGAUCACCAGGACAAUGCCAGGAGAGAGUAUAGAGAAUGGGAAGAGCGACGGGAAGAAGCGCAAGAGAGGAGAGAGGAGAGGAGACGCGAAGCAGAACGCGAGCAUGAAAUGAAGAUGAUGGAGGUCAUGGCACGGAUGUUCAAUCAGAACGACCGCCGAGAAAAUGACAACCGCAAAGAAAAUAACAACCGCCAAGAAAAUAACCGCCCAGAAAAUAGCAACCGCCAAGAAAAUAACAAUCGUCAAGAAAA
RNA transcript from Strongylocentrotus purpuratus (purple sea urchin), 1469 nucleotides. RefSeq lists it as uncharacterized. NCBI's taxonomy places the organism in Eukaryota, Metazoa, Echinodermata, Echinoidea, Camarodonta, Strongylocentrotidae. The transcript has 3 exons. The record is from RefSeq and is a predicted model, not a curated record.